This 502-nucleotide ribosomal RNA is filed under the name uncultured bacterium. RNAcentral describes it as "bacterial SSU rRNA". It matches the Rfam family "Bacterial small subunit ribosomal RNA", at positions 28 to 517 of the family's 1533-position model. The record is from RNAcentral.
GAUGAACGCUAGCUACAGGCUUAACACAUGCAAGUCGAGGGGAAACGAUAUUGGAAGCUUGCUUCUGAUAGGCGUCGACCGGCGCACGGGUGAGUAACGCGUAUCCAACCUGCCCAUCACUUGGGGAUAACCUUGCGAAAGUAAGACUAAUACCCAAUGACGUCCCUAGAAGACAUCUGAAGGAGAUUAAAGAUUUAUCGGUGAUGGAUGGGGAUGCGUCUGAUUAGCUUGUUGGCGGGGUAACGGCCCACCAAGGCGACGAUCAGUAGGGGUUCUGAGAGGAAGGCCCCCCACAUUGGAACUGAGACACGGUCCAAACUCCUACGGGAGGCAGCAGUGAGGAAUAUUGGUCAAUGGACGAGAGUCUGAACCAGCCAAGUAGCGUGCAGGAUGACGGCCCUAUGGGUUGUAAACUGCUUUUAUAAGGGAAUAAAGUGAGUCUCGUGAGACUUUUUGCAUGUACCUUAUGAAUAAGGACCGGCUAAUUCCGUGCCAGCAGCCG